AAUUAAUUUGAUUCCGCUUUAAUAGCUCAACAAUAUCAACUCCUUUGAAAACGUUUCUUCUGAAUUCUCUGCAUCUCUCAACUCUGGUCACACUUUUCUCCUCCCUUCUCCUCUUCUUCUUCUUCUUCUUCUUCUUCUUCACUAUCCACCUGCUCCAGAAAAAACAUUCAAAGAAAGCAGGCUUUUCAUCGCCGACGAUCAGAGCUCAAACCCUUUCUUUCUCUGGCUCAGUACUUUCCAGAAACUUUACCCCAAAGGAAAAGAGCACACAUUAAAAAUGGGGUCAUGUGUAUCAUCAUCGCUUCACAAGGGGUCCGCCAUGAAAAUGGGAGUGUCGUUUGGUUCCAAACCAGACGAGCUCGUGCUCCCUGAAUCCCCUGUCAA
Molecule: long non-coding RNA, 384 nt
Filed under: Linum usitatissimum (flax)
Lineage: Eukaryota; Viridiplantae; Streptophyta; Magnoliopsida; Malpighiales; Linaceae
Description: long non-coding RNA (LUSI_LNC001569)
Source: RNAcentral